Long non-coding RNA from Rosa chinensis, 355 nucleotides. RefSeq lists it as uncharacterized. Lineage: Eukaryota; Viridiplantae; Streptophyta; Magnoliopsida; Rosales; Rosaceae. The transcript has 3 exons. The record is from RefSeq and is a predicted model, not a curated record.
UCCUCAAAACCUUCAACCCAGUCUCUGCGACGGUCGACGGCAGCGGCACGACGACCUCGUCUCGUUCUCGCGACAUCACUCUGUCAGUCUCGCUUUUGGUGGCGGAGCAGAAGAAAGAAAAGAAAAAAAAUAAGAAGGGGUCGGGAAAGAGAGGAGAAAGAAGAGGAUAUGGAUGUUAAGAAAGAUAGAGAAGAAAAGAAGAAGAAAUAGGAAGAGGGAAGAAGUCAAGUUUCACCAGUCCUGCAGCUGCGUCAACCGAGCUUGGAAGCUUGGGUCGCAUCGCUGGGAGGAUCCGAAGCUCAAUCAGGUCCACGUGGCUGAAAGGAGAGGCCUUUAGCUCUUCAAUCUCAAAAGG